UUAAUUGAAACCAAAAAGAGGUAAAUCACUGUUAAUGAUUUUAAUGGGAAAUUCCCCAAUUAAA
This 64-nucleotide transfer RNA is filed under the name Dinothenarus chrysocomus. RNAcentral's name for it is "tRNA-Asn". Lineage: Eukaryota; Metazoa; Arthropoda; Insecta; Coleoptera; Staphylinidae. The record is from RNAcentral.